AUAGAAACUUAUACCUUCUUAUUUACCGAAAAAGUUCAUAGGAACUGCUAAUUCCUAUAA
RNAcentral lists this transfer RNA (60 nucleotides) under Muntiacus muntjak menglasis. RNAcentral describes it as "tRNA-Ser". The record is from RNAcentral. Lineage: Eukaryota; Metazoa; Chordata; Mammalia; Artiodactyla; Cervidae.